CCAGACAGCCAGGAUGUUGGCUUAGAAGCAGCCAUCAUUUAAAGAAAGCGUAAUAGCUCACUGGUCGAGUCGGCCUGCGCGGAAGAUGUAACGGGGCUAAACCAUGCACCGAAGCUGCGGCAGCGACACUAUGUGUUGUUGGGUAGGGGAGCGUUCUGUAAGCCUGCGAAGGUGUACUGUGAGGUAUGCUGGAGGUAUCAGAAGUGCGAAUGCUGACAUAAGUAACGAUAAAGCGGGUGAAAAGCCCGCUCGCCGGAAGACCAAGGGUUCCUGUCCAACGUUAAUCGGGGCAGGGUGAGUCGACCCCUAAGGCGAGGCCGAAAGGCGUAGUCGAUGGGAAACAGGUUAAUAUUCCUGUACUUGGUGUUACUGCGAAGGGGGGACGGAGAAGGCUAUGUUGGCCGGGCGACGGUUGUCCCGGUUUAAGCGUGUAGGCUGGUUUUCCAGGCAAAUCCGGAAAAUCAAGGCUGAGGCGUGAUGACGAGGCACUACGGUGCUGAAGCAACAAAUGCCCUGCUUCCAGGAAAAGCCUCUAAGCAUCAGGUAACAUCAAAUCGUACCCCAAACCGACACAGGUGGUCAGGUAGAGAAUACCAAGGCGCUUGAGAGAACUCGGGUGAAGGAACUAGGCAAAAUGGUGCCGUAACUUCGGGAGAAGGCACGCUGAUAUGUAGGUGAAGUCCCUCGCGGAUGGAGCUGAAAUCAGUCGAAGAUACCAGCUGGCUGCAACUGUUUAUUAAAAACACAGCACUGUGCAAACACGAAAGUGGACGUAUACGGUGUGACGCCUGCCCGGUGCCGGAAGGUUAAUUGAUGGGGUUAGCGGUAACGCGAAGCUCUUGAUCGAAGCCCCGGUAAACGGCGGCCGUAACUAUAACGGUCCUAAGGUAGCGAAAUUCCUUGUCGGGUAAGUUCCGACCUGCACGAAUGGCGUAAUGAUGGCCAGGCUGUCUCCACCCGAGACUCAGUGAAAUUGAACUCGCUGUGAAGAUGCAGUGUACCCGCGGCAAGACGGAAAGACCCCGUGAACCUUUACUAUAGCUUGACACUGAACAUUGAGCCUUGAUGUGUAGGAUAGGUGGGAGGCUUUGAAGUGUGGACGCCAGUCUGCAUGGAGCCGACCUUGAAAUACCACCCUUUAAUGUUUGAUGUUCUAACGUUGGCCCCUGAUCGGGGUUGCGGACAGUGUCUGGUGGGUAGUUUGACUGGGGCGGUCUCCUCCUAAAGAGUAACGGAGGAGCACGAAGGUUGGCUAAUCCUGGUCGGACAUCAGGAGGUUAGUGCAAUGGCAUAAGCCAGCUUGACUGCGAGCGUGACGGCGCGAGCAGGUGCGAAAGCAGGUCAUAGUGAUCCGGUGGUUCUGAAUGGAAGGGCCAUCGCUCAACGGAUAAAAGGUACUCCGGGGAUAACAGGCUGAUACCGCCCAAGAGUUCAUAUCGACGGCGGUGUUUGGCACCUCGAUGUCGGCUCAUCACAUCCUGGGGCUGAAGUAGGUCCCAAGGGUAUGGCUGUUCGCCAUUUAAAGUGGUACGCGAGCUGGGUUUAGAACGUCGUGAGACAGUUCGGUCCCUAUCUGCCGUGGGCGCUGGAGAACUGAGGGGGGCUGCUCCUAGUACGAGAGGACCGGAGUGGACGCAUCACUGGUGUUCGGGUUGUCAUGCCAAUGGCACUGCCCGGUAGCUAAAUGCGGAAGAGAUAAGUGCUGAAAGCAUCUAAGCACGAAACUUGCCCCGAGAUGAGUUCUCCCUGACUCCUUGAGAGUCCUGAAGGAACGUUGAAGACGACGACGUUGAUAGGCCGGGUGUGUAAGCGCAGCGAUGCGUUGAGCUAACCGGUACUAAUGAACCGUGAGGCUUAACCUU
RNAcentral lists this ribosomal RNA (1862 nucleotides) under Escherichia coli. Its description in RNAcentral is "partial 23S ribosomal RNA". It matches the Rfam family "Bacterial large subunit ribosomal RNA", at positions 1085 to 2925 of the family's 2925-position model. The record is from RNAcentral. Lineage: Bacteria; Pseudomonadati; Pseudomonadota; Gammaproteobacteria; Enterobacterales; Enterobacteriaceae.